Molecule: long non-coding RNA, 221 nt
Filed under: Lathyrus oleraceus (garden pea)
Lineage: Eukaryota; Viridiplantae; Streptophyta; Magnoliopsida; Fabales; Fabaceae
Description: Pisum sativum (pea) long non-coding RNA (PSAT_LNC003993)
Source: RNAcentral
AAAUUAUUUGCUUCAGUCUACUACCGUUGACUAUAAUCUCAUUGGGAAAGAAAAAAAACAAAUGCCUCAUGGUUAGUAAAACAAAUAAAACCUGACAAAUGAUUAAGUUAAUUAAGAGAGCCAAAAUAAAAGAGACCACCAAUAUUCAAUAACUAAUCAACUAAAAAUAUCAAAAAUUGUCCGGGUCUAACAAUUCAACUUCUCAUUAAUCACCAUCUAAC